CUUCGGCCUGCCGGCGAGUGGCGAACGGGUGAGUAAUGCAUCGGAACGUGCCCAGUCAUGGGGGAUAACUACGCGAAAGCGUAGCUAAUACCGCAUACGCCCUGAGGGGGAAAGUGGGGGAUCUUCGGACCUCACGUGAUUGGAGCGGCCGAUGUCAGAUUAGCUAGUUGGUGAGGUAAAGGCUCACCAAGGCGACGAUCUGUAGCGGGUCUGAGAGGAUGAUCCGCCACACUGGGACUGAGACACGGCCCAGACUCCUACGGGAGGCAGCAGUGGGGAAUUUUGGACAAUGGGCGCAAGCCUGAUCCAGCCAUGCCGCGUGAGUGAAGAAGGCCUUCGGGUUGUAAAGCUCUUUCGCAAGGGAAGAAAACGUGUGGGCUAAUAUCCUGCGCGGAUGACGGUACCUUGACAAGAAGCACCGGCUAACUACGUGCCAGCAGCCGCGGUAAUACGUAGGGUGCGAGCGUUAAUCGGAAUUACUGGGCGUAAAGCGUGCGCAGGCGGUUGUGUAAGACAGGUGUGAAAUCCCCGGGCUUAACCUGGGAACUGCGCUUGUGACUGCACGGCUAGAGUACGGCAGA
This 581-nucleotide ribosomal RNA is filed under the name Azoarcus sp. PRB7. Its description in RNAcentral is "bacterial SSU rRNA". It matches the Rfam family "Bacterial small subunit ribosomal RNA", at positions 78 to 655 of the family's 1533-position model. The record is from RNAcentral. Lineage: Bacteria; Pseudomonadati; Pseudomonadota; Betaproteobacteria; Rhodocyclales; Zoogloeaceae.